CAGGGCUCUACAGAAUUAUGUACACUGGAGUUCUGCACUCAAUGGGUUGAGCUCAGAGGCUCAAUGUGUUUGGAAGUCCGCACCACAAGUCCUGGAGCAAACAGGCGCGCUGGCUCCCUCUCGUGGUCAUCAUAGAGAAGACACGGGAAGAAAAGAGUGUAGAAUUCCCGAAGCCGUGGACCUAAGCAAUGUGGUCUGCAAACCAGAGUCUGAGAAGUGUUGUAUUUUGCCGGGUAAGGUAAAAAGAACUGUACACCGGAGGGAGCUUAUAAGACAUCAACGACGGAAUGUUCAGGCAACAAAAGAAGACAGGACAAGACAAGACAAAAUGAAUCACAGGCUCCAGGCUCAGGGAGAGACCCUUCUUCGUGGGAAGAAGACAGAGGACAGAGGGAGAUAACUGGUGACGUCCCUUAACAGGUACAUGUGAUCUUGGGAGACACACAAGCAUAUGGAAGAUGUGACGAUAAAUGAAGGUGGGAUUCAUUUUGCUACUUCUAUGAGGUCAUCCAACAAGGAGGACUUGGCAGUGAUAGAAAUGUUGGGAGGGGCAUCUCACCCAUGUUCCUUGAGUAAGCCCAAUAAAUUCAUUGUUUC
Molecule: long non-coding RNA, 597 nt
Filed under: Cricetulus griseus (Chinese hamster)
Lineage: Eukaryota; Metazoa; Chordata; Mammalia; Rodentia; Cricetidae
Description: lncRNA (ENSCGRG00015033974.1)
Source: RNAcentral